AUACUGACGCUCAGUCACGAAAGCGUGGGGAGCAAAUAGGCUUAGAUACCCUAGUAGUCCACGCCGUAAACGUUGAGGACCUGAUGCCGGAGUAUUUCGGUGUCGUAGCUAACGCGUUAAGUCCUCCGCCUGGGUACUACGUUCGCAAGAAUAAAACUUAAAGGAAUUGACGGGGGCCCGCACAAGCAGUGGAGCAUGUGGUUUAAUUCGUCGCUACGCGAAAAACCUUACCAGGGUUUGACAUCCCGCUAAAAGUCUUGGAAACAAGAUCAUAGUUAUAGCGGUGAAAGGUGGUGCAUGGUUGUCGUCAGCUCGUGUCGUGAGAUGUUGGGUUAAGUCCCCUAACGAGCGCAACCCUUGUCUCUAUUUGCCAUCAUUAAGUUGGGAACUAUAGAGAGACUGCCGGUGCAAACCGGAGGAAGAUGGGGAUGACGUCAAAUCAUCAUGCCCCUUAUGCCCUGGGCCACACACGUGCUACAAUGGCCGGUACAGAGAGAAGCAAUCCCGUGAGGAGGAGCAAAUCUCACAAAGCCGGUCUCAGUUCGGAUUGGAGUCUGCAACUCGACUCCAUGAAGCUGGAAUUGCUAGUAAUCGCAGAUCAGCAUUGCUGCGGUGAAUACGUUCCCGGGCCUUGUACACACUGCCCGUCACACCAUGAGAGUCGGCAAUACUCGAAGUCGUUAUCUUAACCUGCAAGGGAGGGAGGCGCCUAAGGUAGGGCUGAUGAUUGGGGUUAAGUCGUAACAAGGUAUCCCUACGGGAACGUGGGGAUG
RNAcentral lists this ribosomal RNA (773 nucleotides) under human gut metagenome. RNAcentral's name for it is "bacterial SSU rRNA". It matches the Rfam family "Bacterial small subunit ribosomal RNA", at positions 737 to 1520 of the family's 1533-position model. The record is from RNAcentral.